Molecule: small nuclear RNA, 107 nt
Organism: Marmota monax (woodchuck)
Lineage: Eukaryota; Metazoa; Chordata; Mammalia; Rodentia; Sciuridae
Source: RefSeq, a predicted model, not a curated record
AUGCUCUCUUUGACAGCACAUAUACUAAAAUUGGAACAAUACAGAGAAAAUUAGCAUGGCCCCUGAACAAGGAUGGCAUGCAAAUUCAUGAAGCAGUCCACAUUUUU